This is a long non-coding RNA of Zingiber officinale, 818 nucleotides long. RefSeq lists it as uncharacterized. The transcript is spliced from 3 exons. Lineage: Eukaryota; Viridiplantae; Streptophyta; Magnoliopsida; Zingiberales; Zingiberaceae. The record is from RefSeq and is a predicted model, not a curated record.
UUGCUUGUGCCCUAGCUCCCCACACGGCGCCGAACUUCUUCUCCCCUCACCCCUCGCGCGCCGAAUCCCCCUCUUCCCCUCCCUCUCGCGACCCUCUUCUACCCAAAUCCACCGCCGGCUCUCCUCCUCCUCCCGCGGGCACCAGCUGUCGAGCUACGACCGCCGCAUCUUCUCUUCUCCGCCGAGCCGUGACCUCCUUCUUCGCUCUCCCUCGCAUGAGCACCCUCGGAUGCCGCCAACAUCUCCUCCUGGCCGGCACCCGAGCACCACCGACACUUACUGGCACUACCCUUUCUUUUCUGCUGCGCAACGCCAACUCUACGCUGAUUCUUCCGUCGCAGCCGCCUCUCACCGCCAAGCAGUGCCGCCGCCGGGGCAUCUCAUCGAACCGUGCCCUAAUUGAUCCAGCAAGUAGUUCUUCCUUGUAGGACUCUAUUGUGAGAUGGGCACUUCGACGUGAGAAUUGUUUUAACCUGAUCUACAAUGAAGGUAACAGGUAGAUGAGUCAUGGAUGCUUGGAGAGUCCCGGCUGCCAGUCCCACGUCACGCUCGAGGAUAAUUUCUUUUCAAUCUUAUUUCUGUUUGGUAGUAUACUGAUUUUGUGCAUUUUGUUUUCCAAUAAGUUGAUGUGGAUUUUGGAGUUUAGUCUGGUGGUUGCAGAUAUUUUUGUUAGUGUCGUUGUUGGUCUUAUGUUCGUAUUGUUUUGUGUUUUCCGCUGUGCGUGUUUACUUUCAGCCGUGUAUGCUUAUUAAACUACGUGGUUGUGUUUAUUUUGUUCCGACCGAGUGGGCUAAUGAUAAAAACUGCGUGGUUGUGUA